RNAcentral lists this long non-coding RNA (448 nucleotides) under Salvia miltiorrhiza (redroot sage). Its description in RNAcentral is "long non-coding RNA (SMIL_LNC000852)". Lineage: Eukaryota; Viridiplantae; Streptophyta; Magnoliopsida; Lamiales; Lamiaceae. The record is from RNAcentral.
AAAUACCAAAUGUAGAUGCAACUCUUGCACCAAUUUAACCAAAUCAUAACCCUAAAACAAAAUAGCAUACAAACAGAAAGUAAACCCAAAAUCCAAAUUGAGGGGAAAGAAUUAGCUGCAAAAUAACAGAGAAAACCCACAUUUUUCAGCUCAGUCAACCCAAAUCCUAAUUCUCUAGCCAUCAAAUUAAACCUAUAUAAAUCCCCAGAGUUCAAUUCCCAUCUUUGGUAAAAUAAACAGAGCAUAAUUAACACCAAAAAAACACAAACACGGACAAAGAAGAAGAAAAAACAUACCACCAAGAGUAGUUGACAGCAUGAUCGAGCUUGAGAGAGAGAAUAAGAGAGAAGGAGAAAAGCAACCCAUGAGCCACCACCACUUGAAAAGACUUGAAAACUCUCCUCCAGCUCAUCAUCUCCCCAAACCAAAAUUCUAUGACACCAAAAAA